UACAGAGGUCCCAAGCGUUGUUCGGAUUCACUGGGCGUAAAGGGUGCGUAGGUGGUGAGGUAAGUCGGAUGUGAAAGCUCGGAGCUCAACUCCGAAAUGGCAUUGGAAACUACCUUGCUAGAGGGUUGGAGGGGGGACUGGAAUACUUGGUGUAGCAGUGAAAUGCGUAGAUAUCAAGUGGAACACCAGUGGCGAGGGCGAGUCCCUGGACAACUCCUGACACUGAGGCACGAAAGCUAGGGGAGCAAACAGG
This 253-nucleotide ribosomal RNA is filed under the name uncultured bacterium. RNAcentral describes it as "partial 16S ribosomal RNA". It matches the Rfam family "Bacterial small subunit ribosomal RNA", at positions 524 to 776 of the family's 1533-position model. The record is from RNAcentral.